GCCUUGGUAGCUCAGUGAUUGAGCAUCAUCCUAUGAACCAGGAGGUCAUGGUUCGAUUCCUGGUCAGGGCA
This 71-nucleotide transfer RNA is filed under the name Myotis brandtii (Brandt's bat). It matches the Rfam family "tRNA". From Rfam's summary of the family: Transfer RNA (tRNA) molecules are approximately 80 nucleotides in length. Their secondary structure includes four short double-helical elements and three loops (D, anti-codon, and T loops). The record is from Rfam by way of RNAcentral. Lineage: Eukaryota; Metazoa; Chordata; Mammalia; Chiroptera; Vespertilionidae.